UUUUGAUACUCUGUUCUAAUUUACUAAGAAGAGUCACCAAUUUUGUUUCUGUGGUUUGUGACCUGAGAAGCUACAUAUUGACAUGGCGCUACCACGGGUGGAGGAGCGUGCAUUGCUGAAUCACAGGAUGAAGGCGAAUCCCUGCCAGCCUCCAUCCAUCUCUCGGGUGCUUAGCAGAAUCCUCAGCUCACAGGAUGAAUAAAUGCAGACUAAAUGAUGCACAAAUAAUCUUCACACACAACCAUCAACGCACGGAAAGACAGCAGGAUGGCCAGAUCCCAAGCUAACAAACAGGUAAAAUUUGCAUAAUUAGGUCUUCAGGUGUCUUUAGUUAUGAAAUGUGUCUGAUUCACUUGGUGAUUCUGGGCGUC
This 371-nucleotide long non-coding RNA is filed under the name Gorilla gorilla gorilla (western lowland gorilla). RNAcentral's name for it is "lncRNA (ENSGGOG00000044302.1)". The record is from RNAcentral. Lineage: Eukaryota; Metazoa; Chordata; Mammalia; Primates; Hominidae.